UACGAAGGGUGCAAGCGUUACUCGGAAUUACUGGGCGUAAAGCGUGCGUAGGUGGUUUGUUAAGUCUGAUGUGAAAGCCCUGGGCUCAACCUGGGAAUUGCAUUGGAUACUGGCAGGCUAGAGUGCGGUAGAGGAUGGCGGAAUUCCCGGUGUAGCAGUGAAAUGCGUAGAGAUCGGGAGGAACAUCUGUGGCGAAGGCGACUCACUGGACACAUAUUGACGCUGAGGUGCGAAAGCGUGGGGAGCAAACAGG
RNAcentral lists this ribosomal RNA (253 nucleotides) under uncultured bacterium. RNAcentral's name for it is "partial 16S ribosomal RNA". It matches the Rfam family "Bacterial small subunit ribosomal RNA", at positions 524 to 776 of the family's 1533-position model. The record is from RNAcentral.